UCAUUAAGAAGCUAUGAACCAGCAUUAGCCUUUUAAGCUAAAGAAAGAGGGAACCUCCCCUCCUUAAUGGU
Molecule: transfer RNA, 71 nt
Filed under: Melospiza georgiana nigrescens
Lineage: Eukaryota; Metazoa; Chordata; Aves; Passeriformes; Passerellidae
Description: tRNA-Lys
Source: RNAcentral